Molecule: ribosomal RNA, 485 nt
Filed under: uncultured bacterium
Lineage: Bacteria
Description: bacterial SSU rRNA
Rfam family: Bacterial small subunit ribosomal RNA
Source: RNAcentral
AUUGAACGCUGGCGGCAUGCUUUACACAUGCAAGUCGAACGGUAACAGGGAGCUUGCUCCGCUGACGAGUGGCGAACGGGUGAGUAAUGCAUCGGAACGUACCCAGUCGUGGGGGAUAACGUAGCGAAAGUUACGCUAAUACCGCAUACGUCCUGAGGGAGAAAGCGGGGGACCGAAAGGCCUCGCGCGAUUGGAGCGGCCGAUGUCGGAUUAGCUAGUUGGUAGGGUAAAGGCCUACCAAGGCGACGAUCCGUAGCGGGUCUGAGAGGAUGAUCCGCCACACUGGGACUGAGACACGGCCCAGACUCCUACGGGAGGCAGCAGUGGGGAAUUUUGGACAAUGGGCGCAAGCCUGAUCCAGCCAUGCCGCGUGAGUGAAGAAGGCCUUCGGGUUGUAAAGCUCUUUCAGGUGGAAAGAAAACGCAUGGGUCAAUACCCUGUGUGGACUGACGGUACCAUCAGAAGAAGCACCGGCUAACUACGUG